GGGGGCGUAGCUCAGUGGUUAGAGCACCUGCCUUUUAAGCAGGGUGUCGUGGGUUCGAUCCCCACCGCCCUCACCA
This 76-nucleotide transfer RNA is filed under the name bacterium. Its description in RNAcentral is "tRNA-Lys". It matches the Rfam family "tRNA". From Rfam's summary of the family: Transfer RNA (tRNA) molecules are approximately 80 nucleotides in length. Their secondary structure includes four short double-helical elements and three loops (D, anti-codon, and T loops). Further hydrogen bonds mediate the characteristic L-shaped molecular structure. tRNAs have two regions of fundamental functional importance: the anti-codon, which is responsible for specific mRNA codon recognition, and the 3' end, to which the tRNAs corresponding amino acid is attached (by aminoacyl-tRNA synthetases). tRNAs cope with the degeneracy of the genetic code in two manners: having more than one tRNA (with a specific anti-codon) for a particular amino acid; and 'wobble' base-pairing, i.e. permitting non-standard base-pairing at the 3rd anti-codon position. RNAcentral also lists the same sequence under 1 other name. The record is from RNAcentral.